UGCCUGUUUUUUCAAAAACAUUUCUUUUAGGUUAAUUUUUAAAGGUAGGUUCUGCUCAAUGAUUUAUAUUUUAAAUAGCUGCAGUAUAUUGACUGUACAAAGGUAGCAUAAUAAUUAGUUUAUUAAUUGUAAACUGGAAUGAAUGAAUAUAUGAAAUGCUUGUUUUAUUUAUUUUAAAAUUAAAAUUUUAUUUUUAUGUUAAAAAGCUUAAUUAAUUUUUAGGGACGAUAAGACCCUAUAGAGGUUUAAUUUUAAUUUUAUGUUUGAAUUUUUUUUUAUUAUUAUUUAAUAUAUUUUUUUAAGAUUUUUUCUGGGGCGGAAGGUAAAUUUUAACUUUAUUUUUUUUAUUCAUUUAUUUAUGAUUUUUUUGAUCCUAAAGUUUGAUUAUAAGAAAUAGCUACCUUAGGGAUAACAGCGUAAUUUCAAUGGGGAGUUCUUAUUUAUAUUGAAGUUUGCGACCUCGAUGUUGAAUUAAGAUUAGAUUUUGGGGUAGUUUUUAAUUUUCUAAGUCUGUUCGACUUUUAAAUUCUUACAUGAUCUGAUU
RNAcentral lists this ribosomal RNA (544 nucleotides) under Japanagallia hamata. RNAcentral's name for it is "partial 16S ribosomal RNA". Lineage: Eukaryota; Metazoa; Arthropoda; Insecta; Hemiptera; Cicadellidae. The record is from RNAcentral.